GGAGGAGGAGACAGACAGAGUCCUGCAGUCUGUCCGUCAGGCUGUGAUCAGGCUGUCCAGAGCUGUGUGCAGCAGCACUGCAGUCAGUCUGGAUCAGGACGUGUCCUCCCUGCUGGCUGUGCUGGCUCAGGCUGAGAGCGCCCUCCUCAGGACUCAGCAGGACCUGCAGGGGGCGGAGCUCUCGCUGAGGCGGCUGGCUGAGGAAAACGCAGCUCUGCAGAACAGAGUCACACAGCUGGACGAGGACAAGCAGCAGCUGCACACACACACACAGCACACACAGCAGGAGCUCACACACACUCAGGACAUCCUGAACAGGUGAACACACACACACACACACACACACACACACACAGAGACUGGAUUUGUCAUUAAUAAAGACUGGUGUGCAUGUUAACUGAUGUUUUGUGUGUGUGUGUGUGUGUGUGUGUGUGUGUGUGUGUGUGUGUGUGUGUGUGUGUGCGUGCGUGUCAGGGAGCGGGAGGUGCUGGGCUCCCUGCAGAGCCAGCUGGAGGAGGUGCAGAGCAGGGAGGAGGAGGUGAAGAGGGAGAACGACAGGCUGAGGAGGGAGAGACAGCGACAGGAGGAGAGGAGCUGUGAGCUGGAGAGAGAGACACUCAGACGAGUGGAGAGUGAGCUGCUGCACAACGUCCAGCUGAGUGAGAGAGAGAGCUGCAGCCGCAUGGAGAUACACACCCUGAAGGGGGCGCUGCAGAGAGAACAGCUGGACCGGCAGAGGGC
RNAcentral lists this long non-coding RNA (741 nucleotides) under Myripristis murdjan (pinecone soldierfish). RNAcentral describes it as "lncRNA (ENSMMDG00005022738.1)". Lineage: Eukaryota; Metazoa; Chordata; Actinopteri; Holocentriformes; Holocentridae. The record is from RNAcentral.